This 1168-nucleotide ribosomal RNA is filed under the name Serratia marcescens. RNAcentral's name for it is "partial 23S ribosomal RNA". It matches the Rfam family "Bacterial large subunit ribosomal RNA", at positions 1087 to 2234 of the family's 2925-position model. The record is from RNAcentral. Lineage: Bacteria; Pseudomonadati; Pseudomonadota; Gammaproteobacteria; Enterobacterales; Yersiniaceae.
AGACAGCCAGGAUGUUGGCUUAGAAGCAGCCAUCAUUUAAAGAAAGCGUAAUAGCUCACUGGUCGAGUCGGCCUGCGCGGAAGAUGUAACGGGGCUAAACCAUGCACCGAAGCUGCGGCAGCGACGCUUAGGCGUUGUUGGGUAGGGGAGCGUUCUGUAAGCCGUUGAAGGUGGCCUGUGAGGGUUGCUGGAGGUAUCAGAAGUGCGAAUGCUGACAUAAGUAACGAUAAAGCGGGUGAAAAGCCCGCUCGCCGGAAGACCAAGGGUUCCUGUCCAACGUUAAUCGGGGCAGGGUGAGUCGACCCCUAAGGCGAGGCUGAAAAGCGUAGUCGAUGGGAAACAGGUUAAUAUUCCUGUACUUGGUGUUACUGCGAAGGGGGGACGGAGAAGGCUAGGCUGGCCGGGCGACGGUUGUCCCGGUUUAAGCGUGUAGGGGGUGUGACCUGGUAAAUCCGGUUGCAUAUCAACCCUGAGGCGUGAUGACGAUGCACUACGGUGCAGAAGUAGUUGAUGCCCUGCUUCCAGGAAAAUCCUCUAAGCUCCAGGUAACAUUAAAUCGUACCCCAAACCGACACAGGUGGUCAGGUAGAGAAUACCAAGGCGCUUGAGAGAACUCGGGUGAAGGAACUAGGCAAAAUGGUGCCGUAACUUCGGGAGAAGGCACGCUGGCAUGUAGGUGAAGUCCCUCGCGGAUGGAGCUGAAGCCAGUCGAAGAUACCAGCUGGCUGCAACUGUUUAAUAAAAACACAGCACUGUGCAAACACGAAAGUGGACGUAUACGGUGUGACGCCUGCCCGGUGCUGGAAGGUUAAUUGAUGGGGUCAGCCGCAAGGCGAAGCUCUUGAUCGAAGCCCCAGUAAACGGCGGCCGUAACUAUAACGGUCCUAAGGUAGCGAAAUUCCUUGUCGGGUAAGUUCCGACCUGCACGAAUGGCGUAAUGAUGGCCAGGCUGUCUCCACCCGAGACUCAGUGAAAUUGAACUCGCUGUGAAGAUGCAGUGUACCCGCGGCAAGACGGAAAGACCCCGUGAACCUUUACUAUAGCUUGACACUGAACAUUGAGCCUUGAUGUGUAGGAUAGGUGGGAGGCUUUGAAGCGUGGACGCCAGUCUGCGUGGAGCCAUCCUUGAAAUACCACCCUUUAAUGUUUGAUGUUCUAACUCUGCCCC